UCGUACCUACUACAUGGAUAACUGUAGUAAUUCUAGAGCUAAUACAUGCCACUAUGCCCUGACCCGCGAGGGGACGGGUGGAUUUAUUAGAACAGAACCAACCGGUUGUGGCUUCGGCUGCUUCCGUUGCACUCUGUGAUGACUCUGGAUAACUUCACUGAUCGCAGUCGGCCUUGUGUCGGCGACGGAUCUUUCAAAUGUCUGCCCUAUCAAUUUUCGAUGGUAGGUGACCUGCCUACCAUGGUGAUAACGGGUAACGGGGAAUCAGGGUUCGAUUCCGGAGAGGGAGCCUGAGAAAUGGCUACCA
Molecule: ribosomal RNA, 307 nt
Filed under: Orthosplanchnus arcticus
Lineage: Eukaryota; Metazoa; Platyhelminthes; Trematoda; Plagiorchiida; Brachycladiidae
Description: SSU rRNA
Rfam family: Eukaryotic small subunit ribosomal RNA
Source: RNAcentral